AUGAUUAUGUGCACUAGAAACUAUCAUUAAUAAUACUGUUAUCCACAGAGAAGAUUAGUAUGGCCUCUGUGCAAGGAUGACACGCAAAUUCGUGAAGCGUUCCAUAUUUAA
Small nuclear RNA from Suncus etruscus (white-toothed pygmy shrew), 111 nucleotides. Lineage: Eukaryota; Metazoa; Chordata; Mammalia; Eulipotyphla; Soricidae. The record is from RefSeq and is a predicted model, not a curated record.